UGGAAGAUGUGUAGAGGGUUUGGCCU
RNAcentral lists this non-coding RNA (26 nucleotides) under Cricetulus griseus (Chinese hamster). Lineage: Eukaryota; Metazoa; Chordata; Mammalia; Rodentia; Cricetidae. The record is from RNAcentral.